GACGAACGCUGGCGGCGUGCUUAACACAUGCAAGUCGAACGGGCCUUGUCCCCUUUUUUUUUGGGGGUGGGGUUAGUGGCGAACGGGUGAGUAACGCGUGAGUAACCUGCCCCUCACUUCUGGAUAACCGCUUGAAAGGGUGGCUAAUACGGGGUGUUCUGGCCUGCUCGCAUGGGUGGGUUUGGAAAGAUUCGACCGGUUUUGGUUGUUUUGGUGGGGGAUGGGCUCGCUGCCUAUCAGCCUGUUGGUGGGGUGAUGGCCUUCCAAGGCUUUGACGGGUAGCCGGCCUGAGAGGGUGGGCGGUCACACUGGGACUGAGACACGGCCCAGACUCCUACGGGAGGCAGCAGUGGGGAAUAUUGCACAAUGGGCACAAGCCUGAUGCAGCGACGCCGCGUGAGGGAUGGAGGCCUGCGGGUUGUGAACCUCUUUCGCCAGUGAAGAAGGUCCUGCUCUUUGUGGUGGGGUUGACGGUAGCUGGGUAAAUGAAGCGCCGGCUAACUACGUG
RNAcentral lists this ribosomal RNA (508 nucleotides) under uncultured bacterium. RNAcentral describes it as "partial 16S ribosomal RNA". It matches the Rfam family "Bacterial small subunit ribosomal RNA", at positions 28 to 507 of the family's 1533-position model. The record is from RNAcentral.